Trichonephila inaurata madagascariensis is the source of this 72-nucleotide non-coding RNA. Lineage: Eukaryota; Metazoa; Arthropoda; Arachnida; Araneae; Nephilidae. The record is from the annotation of a GenBank genome assembly.
GGGGGUAUAGCUCAGUGGUAGAGCAUUCGACUACAGAUCGAGACAUCUUCGGUUCAAACCCGGAUGAUCCCU